RNAcentral lists this ribosomal RNA (493 nucleotides) under uncultured bacterium. RNAcentral describes it as "partial 16S ribosomal RNA". It matches the Rfam family "Bacterial small subunit ribosomal RNA", at positions 29 to 507 of the family's 1533-position model. The record is from RNAcentral.
AGUGAACGCUGGCGGUAGGCCUAACACAUGCAAGUCGAACGGCAGCACAGUAAGAGCUUGCUCUUACGGGUGGCGAGUGGCGGACGGGUGAGGAAUACAUCGGAAUCUACUUUUUCGUGGGGGAUAACGUAGGGAAACUUACGCUAAUACCGCAUACGACCUACGGGUGAAAGCAGGGGAUCUUCGGACCUUGCGCGAUUGAAUGAGCCGAUGUCGGAUUAGCUAGUUGGCGGGGUAAAGGCCCACCAAGGCGACGAUCCGUAGCUGGUCUGAGAGGAUGAUCAGCCACACUGGAACUGAGACACGGUCCAGACUCCUACGGGAGGCAGCAGUGGGGAAUAUUGGACAAUGGGCGCAAGCCUGAUCCAGCCAUACCGCGUGGGUGAAGAAGGCCUUCGGGUUGUAAAGCCCUUUUGUUGGGAAAGAAAAGCAGCAGGUUAAUACCCCUGCUGUUCUGACGGUACCCAAAGAAUAAGCACCGGCUAACUUCGUG